CUUGUGACUGUGCAUGUGACUUCUGCUUGUGACUUGUGUGCCUGUCUGCCUUUAACUGUGUGUUUAGCUCUGUGACUGUCUGCCUGUAACUGAGCAUGUGUGACGGUCUGCCUGUAACUGUGUGUGUGUGUGUGUGACUGUCUGCCUGUAACUGAGCGUGUCUGACUGUCUGCUUGUAACUUUUUGUGUGACUGUCUGCUUGUACCUGUGUGUGUGACUGUAUACAGGCAACUUGGCGGGGGGAGGGGGGACGCCGUGAAGACUUUUUGCGCCUAAGGCUGGCCCUGGGU
Molecule: non-coding RNA, 290 nt
Organism: Pelobates cultripes (western spadefoot toad)
Lineage: Eukaryota; Metazoa; Chordata; Amphibia; Anura; Pelobatidae
Source: the annotation of a GenBank genome assembly